AUAAAACACUCAAUCUUUUGCCUUUAUAUUUCUUCUUCGUCUGUUCGAUUUCAAGCGUGUGGGAAGUCAGUUAAACCUGUCUGGAGGCAUAAAAAUAAGAAGCACAAACCCCAUGUGUCUCAAAAACAUCUAUUUUUUCCAAACUCUUCUUUUUCCUUAUACUCAUAAUUAAUACGUGUCUAUUUUGUCGCACCAACCUUCAAUCUCAAACAUAUUAAUUCCUAAUUCGACCGUUCCACUCCCAAAUUUUAACC
RNAcentral lists this long non-coding RNA (254 nucleotides) under Vigna radiata. Its description in RNAcentral is "long non-coding RNA (VRAD_LNC006317)". Lineage: Eukaryota; Viridiplantae; Streptophyta; Magnoliopsida; Fabales; Fabaceae. The record is from RNAcentral.